AGGUUUUUAUUUGCUUUUCAACAUCCAUUUCAUAGUGGUACAUGUGGCUUUGAUUAAUAUUACCAUAAAGACUGCCGAAAAUGGGUGUGGUACGGAAACCCAGAAAUGGCAUGAGUUCAACAUCAAACCUGGAUUAGAAUUUUAGCGGGGAAUCAAGUCAAGUCUGGAAGUGUUACAGGAUGGAAGAGUGAGCCUACAGUUGAAAAAACACUGAGAGUGCAUUACCAUUAAGCAAUCCUUUAUAGUUCUGUCACAGCUAGAAGCCUCAAAUAAUUCUGCUUCUCUUGCUAAAGAACAACUUGUCCUUUACGUUCAGAGUGUUGGUGAAGCUGGGUACUUAAAUGGCCAUAAAGAUGUUUUAAUUUUGCUGCCGUUGCAGAGAUGAACAUCAUACAUGGA
Molecule: long non-coding RNA, 399 nt
Organism: Daphnia carinata
Lineage: Eukaryota; Metazoa; Arthropoda; Branchiopoda; Diplostraca; Daphniidae
Exons: 3
Source: RefSeq, a predicted model, not a curated record